This is a non-coding RNA of Misgurnus anguillicaudatus (oriental weatherfish), 1531 nucleotides long. The record is from RefSeq and is a predicted model, not a curated record. Lineage: Eukaryota; Metazoa; Chordata; Actinopteri; Cypriniformes; Cobitidae.
CGUUUGUAAAUGUUACUGACUGACUUUGACAACUUGACAGGCUGUUUGAUCCAGUGUAAGGGGUUUUGAUAAUUUACGAUUAAGUGUUUGCAUAAAAUGAAUGAUGUCCAUACCUCACAGUUUCAAACAAAGAUUCAUCAGGGCUACCUGGUACAGGUCGAUGAGAAAGAGCGAGAAGCCUCACGACCUCCGAGUAGGGAGUAAAAAAUAAGAAGUGUUCAUCAGUUUAAAGGUUCAAUCAUGUUUAUGUUUUGUGGUUUUGAUGUGGCUAGGGGAGGUAACGUUAAUGUAGGGUUCAAAGAAGCCUAACUGAGCUAUCUAGUGUUUAGCAACCGGUUGCAUAAAUUGUAACAAUUGCUAAAGUCGACUAAUAACGUUAGCAGCUAUUUGUGUGUAACAUGGUAGGUUAUUUUCUUUUCAUUUUGCUACCAUGUGUUGCAAAAUGACAAAUAAAUGGCCUAAACAUACACCUAGCUUUCAUGGAAACCACAGAAUCUGGUUCUGAUGGCUGCUGUUUUAUAUCAUAUGUUUAUUUUAAACCAUGCACUGUCAGUUAUCUUUUAAGGUCCAUUGGCCAGUGGUAUGUAAGUACUGAUUUUUAUACCCUGUACCUAAGUUAUCUUUUCAACGUUCACUUGUUCAACGUUCACUGUUUUCAUAACACUAUAUGAAGGUGAGCAAAUUGAGACGGGUGAUGUAUUUGGAUAUCCUUAGAUUACAGUAUUGUGUACAGUAUUAUUCAAUUGAUAAUUCAUGUCAGGCAUGAUUGAGCCUAUUUCCAUAACUUACCUACUAUUUAUUGACUUAUGCAUUUGUCAGACGCAUUUAUCCAAACUUUUUUUAAUCAAACUUACAGUGCAUUACAAGGUAUAUAUUUUUUAUUUAUCAGUAUGUGUUCCCUUGGAUUGAACCCAUGACCUUUUGCACUGCAAACGCAAUGCUCUACCACUGAGCUAUAAAGGAACACCUACUACUUACCUGAUCAGCCUGCUCUCAGCUUUCUCAUUUUCUGUGUUGUAUUGAAGUUCUGUCCUGAUUCUGAAUGUGAAAUGACAUAUAUUUUGUUUUAAUGUGUAGAUUGUCUUUGAAGACUGCUCACCGGUUGAAAUUUCGGUGGCAGAGUGUUCAUGUGUGGCUGGAAGGGCACUCUGCAACCACAAUGUUGCACUGCUGUUCCAGACCGCACACUACUCCACACUGAACCUGGCUGCUGUACCCCCCGUCCUUAGCUGCACUGAUACAGAGCAGCUCUGGCACAAGCCAAGAACCAUGGGUGUAAAACCAGGCAGAGUGAGCGACAUGGUGUUCAUUUCCACAAAACCAAAGCAAUUUACAGUUGCUCACGGUGUAAGGAGUACGCGUUACAAGGCAGUGCGAGGGGAGUUGCCAGAUGCAGAUGUCCUUAAAGUUGACGAGGUGUACGAAGACUUCUUGCCAAACAUUGCUCCACUCAUUACCACCAUGGCGAUAAAUGCGGACAUCCCACUAGUUGACUCUGCAUCUGGGAAAGUCCAGGAAGGUAGUCCUAUAU